AUGAGUACACUUUAAAUCCUUUAACAAGGAUCCAUUGGAGGGCAAGUCUGGUGCCAGCAGCCGCGGUAAUUCCAGCUCCAAUAGCGUAUAUUAAAGUUGUUGCGGUUAAAAAGCUCGUAGUUGGUUCUGCGUGCCACGCUGUCGGUUCGCCGCCUGUCGGUGUAACUGGCAUGUCGCGGCAUGUCCUGUCGGUGGUGAACGGGGUCCCCGGCGCGGCGUAGGCUUUAUAGCUGAAGUUUGUGCCGUGUGUGUUCUCGUUUGCCGAUUCCUACUCCGGUGCUCUUAAACGAGUGUCGAGGUAGGCCGACACGUUCACUUUGAACAAAUUAGAGUGCUUAAAGCAGGCUGAAAUAUCUGCCUGAAUAGUGGUGCAUGGAAUGAUAAAACAGGACCUCAGUUCUAUUUUGUUGGUUUUAGGAAUAUGAGGUAAUGAUCAAUGUGGACUGGCGGGGGCAUUCGUAUUGCGACGUUAGAGGUGAAAUUCUUGGAUCGUCGCAAGACGCACUAGAGCGAAAGCAUUUGCCAAGUAUGUCUUAAUUGAUCAAGAACGAAAGUUAGAGGUUCGAAGGCGAUCAGAUACCGCCCUAGUUCUAACCAUAAACGAUGCCAGCCAGCGAUCCGCCGAUGUUCCUUUAAUGACUCGGCGGGGAGCUUCCACCCGGGAAACCAAAGCUUUUGGGUUCCGGGGAAGUAUGGUUGC
Molecule: ribosomal RNA, 700 nt
Filed under: Reduviidae cf. Amulius sp. UCR ENT 00003643
Lineage: Eukaryota; Metazoa; Arthropoda; Insecta; Hemiptera; Reduviidae
Description: SSU rRNA
Rfam family: Eukaryotic small subunit ribosomal RNA
Source: RNAcentral